This 338-nucleotide long non-coding RNA is filed under the name Elaeis guineensis (African oil palm). RNAcentral's name for it is "long non-coding RNA (EGUI_LNC024880)". The record is from RNAcentral. Lineage: Eukaryota; Viridiplantae; Streptophyta; Magnoliopsida; Arecales; Arecaceae.
UCUAUAGCAACAAUAGGCAUAAGUCAACUCGAAUCUGAGAGUGAAUUUAUCGGACACUUGCUUCUGUUAAGUGGAUCCAGUGCUUUCUGGAAUAUUAUGUUCAGCACUUAUCGAGGAUAGCCUCGGACCAUUAUCGACGGACGGUCUGGACCGACCCAGGGUCCCAUUCCGAUUUGAGAAAUUUUGAAUCUUUUAUUCGAGAUUGUGAGACCUGAUCCGGAAGGUGUGGAGGAUGCUGAUCCGUAGGGAUGCAAGGUACAAAAUGACCUGUAGGCUAGAGCUGGCCAGAUGCAGACUCCUUAGAUGGAACCGCUUGGAGAUGGGUGAUUUAGUUUGAU